CAGGKGGKCCAUGGUKGUSUUCAGCUSGUKUCGKGAGAUGUGGGGUUAAGYCCCSSCAMSGASCGCAMCCCYUAUKGUWAKUKSCCAGCAUUCAGUUGGGCACUCUAAGGAGACUGCCGGUGACAAACCGGAGGAAGGUGGGGAUGACGUCAAAUCAUCAUGCCCCUAUGACYUGGGCUACACACGUCUACAAUGGAUGGUACAACAAGCAGCAAGACCGCGAGGUCAAGCGAAUCUCUUAAAGCCAUCUCAGUUCGGAUUGCAGGCUGCAACUCGCCUGCAUGAAGCCGGAAUCGCUAGUAAUCGCGGAUCAGCACGCCGCGGUGAAUACGUUCCCGGGUCUUGUACACACCGCCCGUCACACCACGAGAGUUUGUAACACCCGAAGUCGGUGAGGUAACCUUUUUGGAGCCAGCCGCCUAAGGUGGGACAGAUGAUUGGGGUGAAGUCGUAACAAGGUAACCAAGCC
RNAcentral lists this ribosomal RNA (469 nucleotides) under uncultured Trichococcus sp. Its description in RNAcentral is "partial 16S rRNA". It matches the Rfam family "Bacterial small subunit ribosomal RNA", at positions 1035 to 1506 of the family's 1533-position model. Lineage: Bacteria; Bacillati; Bacillota; Bacilli; Lactobacillales; Carnobacteriaceae. The record is from RNAcentral.